CUGGCCAAUGUACCAGCCCACAACUGCUGUUCACCUGAGUAACAAGGAGACACUGCCUGGCACACCAACACAUUGCUCACCAUGUUCAUGAGAAUUAUGUCCUUUGCACCUUGGGCCAGACUGGGGUUUCUUAACUUGUUUUUACUCUCCUGUUCCUGCAUAUUAGGUUCCCUUACCAGAGGUCUAUAAUAACAAGAAUUGUGAAGAACUCAGUUUAAGAUAAGGGGGAAACGAGAAACGUAGAGAAUGGAAACUGACAGGUUUGUGCAAGUCUAAUGGCAGGACACCACUUUUCUCUUGAAAAUACAGAGAACCUGCGAUCAGGAAAGGAGGGCUAGCUCCUGGAGAUGAGGCAUCGGAUUUUGCAACAAAAGCGUGAGUGGGGCUGCACUCUGCAGAGAAAAACAGGAGGCACAAUUUAUUAUUAUUUUAUCUGGCACGGAAAUAUAUUCUCCCCGGGUGAGCAUAGCCCCUUGCGCAACGUCUUCAGCGUUCCACAUCUAUUUUUCUCUCCUUUGCUGAAAGCUUUAUGUCAGCAACACUUCCUUUUUACAGAUACCCCCUAGAGUCUUUCGCACUCAAGGGCAGCCCUGAUGGGAAGAAGGUGUUUUCCGCCCUGCGGCUCUACAUUGUGAUUGCAGACUGCCUCCCCAGUCUCACAAACAAUGGCAUCGGAAUGGCUGCCGUCCCUUUUUAUAUUUUUUGAGCAGUAUAAAACUGUAAGUGGCUGCAAGAAGCGGUCACUGCUACAUGCUUUCCCACCCCUCUGUUUUAAAGCCAUUUUAAUCUAUUCCUGUCCUAUCUCUUCCUGUGUAGCAAGCAGCUACACCUUUCGGCUGCUUUCAGAGAAGCUUAAAAAAAAACACCUUCAGUUUCCAGCUUGGCUAGAAACCCUGUGAAUUAUGGGAAGGAUUUUUUUUUAAACUGUAUCUUCCUUGCCAGCUCUUGAAAUAAUCAACUCAAGCAGGGUUUGAAGACAGAGCUAGAGCAGACAGCCCUGCAAUGUCAAAAAAGAGGAUUUGCACCAUCUCCCUCCCCCCCCCAAAAGGAC
Molecule: long non-coding RNA, 1051 nt
Organism: Podarcis raffonei (Aeolian wall lizard)
Lineage: Eukaryota; Metazoa; Chordata; Lepidosauria; Squamata; Lacertidae
Exons: 3
Source: RefSeq, a predicted model, not a curated record